RNAcentral lists this ribosomal RNA (288 nucleotides) under Vibrio splendidus. RNAcentral describes it as "partial 16S ribosomal RNA". It matches the Rfam family "Bacterial small subunit ribosomal RNA", at positions 1 to 275 of the family's 1533-position model. The record is from RNAcentral. Lineage: Bacteria; Pseudomonadati; Pseudomonadota; Gammaproteobacteria; Vibrionales; Vibrionaceae.
AAAUUGAAGAGUUUGAUCAUGGCUCAGAUUGAACGCUGGCGGCAGGCCUAACACAUGCAAGUCGAGCGGAAACGACAACAUUGAAUCUUCGGAGGAUUUGUUGGGCGUCGAGCGGCGGACGGGUGAGUAAUGCCUAGGAAAUUGCCUUGAUGUGGGGGAUAACCAUUGGAAACGAUGGCUAAUACCGCAUAAUGCCUACGGGCCAAAGAGGGGGAUCUUCGGACCUCUCGCGUCAAGAUAUGCCUAGGUGGGAUUAGCUAGUUGGUGAGGUAAUGGCUCACCAAGGCA